UGGACUAGUAGCGAGUGGUGGUGACAGAAGAGAGUGAGCACACUCGGGCAAUUGUAUAAAGCCAUACCUUUGCGUGAUGUGUGCUCACUUCUCUUUCUGUCAGCCGCACGCCGCCCYCCGCCCA
RNAcentral lists this microRNA precursor (124 nucleotides) under Malus domestica (apple). Its description in RNAcentral is "miR156d stem-loop (mdm-MIR156d)". Its record names the gene mdm-MIR156d. Lineage: Eukaryota; Viridiplantae; Streptophyta; Magnoliopsida; Rosales; Rosaceae. The record is from miRBase by way of RNAcentral.